CAUCUGCUAACCAUGUGACCAUUAACAUCUGCUAACCAUGUGUAUGUGACCAACACAAUUUGAUUUGAGAAGCUUUUCCAAAUCACUCCCUUGAGUGCUGGGGAUACCCUUUCCUGCUGGGCCCUCAGGUCAUUUGUGCCCGUGUGGCUGGGGUACCCUAGUCUGUCCUUUCUCUGUCUCUGUCUCUGUCUCUCCCACAAUCUCUCCCCCCCCUCUCUUUUUCUAGUUCUCCCCUUCUCUCUCGCUCUCUGAUGUUGCUAUACUAUUGCUAUUGUAUUCUAUUUGGACACGGUCUCUAUGGAAGUCAAUGUGUCAGUCAAUGUGACUUCUUCUUCGAUGGGUCGUCGAGUGGUUGAGGAGAGUGUCAAUUGGCUAGUAGGAGAACAGAAGAUUGUCCUCGCCUCCUCGAUAGCAAUCUUUCCACCGAGGAAAGAUUUCCACCGUCUAAAUAUCUUUAUAAUACUUAUUUUUUUAUGUGCUGACUGGCGCCCUCUAGCUGUAAAAGGAAGCAACAGCAGGGGGGCCUGAUUUGCUGUAAACCUAAUAACCUGGAUUGGACCUGUUUGUUUACUUAUAUCGUGUCUCCUAGAGAUUUAAAUGGAUUGUAGAGGAGCUUACCUCUCUCUCUUCUCUCCCCUCUCUUCUCUCCUCCCCCCCCUCCCUCUCUCUCUGUCUCGUGGGAUUAACGUGCGGUCGAGUAUGGGGCAGGUUCCAAGGGAGAGGAAGACAGGAAGAGAAGGAAGAGAGACAGAUCUUUGAAGGAGAGCGAGAGAGCGAGACGGUGUUGAGUCGGACGUACAGAAAACAGGAGAAUAAAACGAGCUGAGGAUCUACCUGAACAAGGUCCUCCAUAUUGAAAAGGCACCUGUCAUCUUUGACCAUGUCUAAGGACCAGUGUGACUCCGUAGCAGUGAGCGUCGAGUCCCUCUUAACCGACGCAGUUAAGAUGCAGUCCCAGUGUCGGGAGCGUAGUGAGCAGCUAGCUGUGGCCGCCGCCGCUCUGCGGGAGGAGUCGGCUUGCUUGAGAGAACAGUGUCAAGCCACCCAGCUGGAUAUGGCCCGGAUGAGAAGGCAGCUAGAAGAACUGCUGGAUACCAAAGCUCAGAUGGAGGCCAGUGAUAGAAUGCACCGCAAACUCAGCAGGACACUCUAAAUGGAAGAGAAGGAAGAGGGGAGAGAGAGGUAGAGAGAGAGAGGAGAGAAAGAGGUAGAGAGAGAGAGAAAGGAGAGAAAGAGGUAGAGAGAGAGAGGAGAGA
Molecule: long non-coding RNA, 1256 nt
Organism: Oncorhynchus kisutch (coho salmon)
Lineage: Eukaryota; Metazoa; Chordata; Actinopteri; Salmoniformes; Salmonidae
Exons: 3
Source: RefSeq, a predicted model, not a curated record